RNAcentral lists this long non-coding RNA (915 nucleotides) under Equus caballus (horse). RNAcentral's name for it is "lncRNA (ENSECAG00000038061.3)". The record is from RNAcentral. Lineage: Eukaryota; Metazoa; Chordata; Mammalia; Perissodactyla; Equidae.
GUUUGUCAAACUCUAAAUUGCACACCGGUUUGCAGGACGCUUUCCUGCCCCCAGUACAAGAAUGAAAUAAAAGCCUCACUGCGGAAGAGAGUGAAACAGCCAGCAAAACUUUUUUUAAAAAUGUGAUACAGUUAUUUCCCACAAUAAAGUGCUAAAUGGAAGGGGGGAAACGCAGUGUAGGGAACUGUUCCUAUAGUACCAUUCCAGGAAUAUAAAAAGAUAAUUUAUAUUUACAGAGGAAACCACAGGGGACCAAUGGGGUUCUUGUGCAUUUACUCAACAGAUAUACAACGAGAACACACUGCGAGGCACUAUUCAAUGGGUGUGCUGCACACUCAAUGGUUUUCUAUACUCAGGGGGAGUGACUUCUACAAUGAGAGAAUAUAUUUUACCAUAUAUGAAACCCAGGUCCACAAACCCAGGACAACCCAAGAAGAGACCUUGACAAGACGAUUCCGAGAGGCAGAAAUACAAGAUGCGAAGGAACCUAGGCAGCUCCGGAGGAGAAAGGCCAACUGGAAAAGCAAACGGGCCUUGCCGGCAGGCAGGGAAUUUUCCGAAGGGGGCGCGCUGAAGGCUGCAGCCGGCCCGGGAGCGGCCCAGCCCGCGCAGACGCAGAAAGAAGCCGCCCUCUCCACGGACAAGGCUCCGCGCAGUUUUUUCAAGCACGAAGGGCGGGGCAGGAGGGCGGCUGGUCGGCUGCACGGCGCAACACUGCCACCUGCAGACCAGAGAAACCCCACGCCACCCACCCCAGCGAAAACUCCAUCUUUUCCGCGGCCGUUCCGCGCAACGACCUGGAGCUCGUGGCUCAGGAAGGCCGGCGGGAGGGAGAUGAGGACCACGGAAAGGAAGAGAAGCGGCCAGAGCGGCCCCGGCAACCGGGCUGGGGCACCGCCGCCUUCCCGGCCCCGG